GACGAACGCUGGCGGCGUGCUUAACACAUGCAAGUGGAGCGACGAACCGGGGCCUGCCCCGGGGCAAAGCCGCGAACGGGUGAGUAACACGUGGGUAACCCACCUCGAUGACCGGGACAACCCGAGGAAACUCGGGCUAAUACCGGAUGUGCUCUUCUCUCAUAAGGGAGUCGAGGAAAGAUAGCUUCGGCCUUCGCAUCGAGACGGGCCCGCGGCCCAUUAGCUUGUUGGUGGGGUAACGGCCUACCAAGGCUUCGAUGGGUAGCUGGUCUGAGAGGACGAUCAGCCACACUGGGACUGAGACACGGCCCAGACUCCUACGGGAGGCAGCAGUGGGGAAUCUUGCACAAUGCGCGAAAGCGUGAUGCAGCAACGCCGCGUGGGGGAAGAAGGCCUUCGGGUUGUAAACCCCUUUCAGUUGGGACGAAGCUUCGUCGGUGAAUAGCCGGCCGGAGUGACGGUACCUUCAGAAGAAGCCCCGGCUAACUACGUGCCAGCAGCCGCGGUAAUACGUAGGGGGCAAGCGUUGUCCGGAAUCAUUGGGCGUAAAGCGCGUGUAGGCGGUUCGGUAAGUCUGCUGUGAAAGUCCAGGGCUCAACCCUGGGAUGCCGGUGGAUACUGUCGGACUAGAGUACGGAAGAGGCGAGUGGAAUUCCCGGUGUAGCGGUGAAAUGCGCAGAUAUCGGGAGGAACACCAAUUGCGAAGGCAGCUCGCUGGGACGUCACUGACGCUGAGACGCGAAAGCGUGGGGAGCAAACAGGAUUAGAUACCCUGGUAGUCCACGCCGUAAACGAUGGGCACUAGGUGUGGGGGGUGUCGACUCCCUCCGUGCCGAAGCUAACGCAUUAAGUGCCCCGCCUGGGGAGUACGGCCGCAAGGCUAA
This 884-nucleotide ribosomal RNA is filed under the name uncultured Actinomycetes bacterium. Its description in RNAcentral is "bacterial SSU rRNA". It matches the Rfam family "Bacterial small subunit ribosomal RNA", at positions 28 to 897 of the family's 1533-position model. The record is from RNAcentral. Lineage: Bacteria; Bacillati; Actinomycetota; Actinomycetes.